CUCGCGAUAGCUCAGAUGGUAGAGCGGUGGACUGUAGCGGAAACAGGGUAGCUCCUGUAACUGAAAUCCAUCGGUCGAGUGUUCGAUUCACUCUCGCGAGA
Non-coding RNA from Mayamaea pseudoterrestris, 101 nucleotides. The record is from the annotation of a GenBank genome assembly. Lineage: Eukaryota; Bacillariophyta; Bacillariophyceae; Sellaphorales; Sellaphoraceae.